CCUCUUUUCAAAGCACUCAUCAGUGAGCUUUUGCUAGUGACCCCACUAAGCCAUUGAGAAGGGGCAGAGUGAAAACACCAUUUUUGGGUGAAGUGGCAACAUAUUGCGUUGUUAACUUCAAUCCGUGUUGCAACAAGA
Molecule: small nucleolar RNA, 138 nt
Organism: Rattus norvegicus (Norway rat)
Lineage: Eukaryota; Metazoa; Chordata; Mammalia; Rodentia; Muridae
Source: Ensembl